Molecule: ribosomal RNA, 1178 nt
Filed under: uncultured organism
Description: bacterial SSU rRNA
Rfam family: Bacterial small subunit ribosomal RNA
Source: RNAcentral
CCACACUGGAACUGAGACACGGUCCAGACACCUACGGGUGGCAGCAGUCGAGAAUCAUUCGCAAUGGGGGAAACCCUGACGAUGCGACGCCGCGUGGAGGAUGAAGGCCUUAGGGUUGUAAGCUCCUGUCAAGAGGGAAUAAGCAAGUGAAGGUACCUCUAGAGGAAGGGGCGGCUAAUUCCGUGCCAGCAGCCGCGGUAACACGGAAGCCCCGAGCGUUGUUCGGAUUCAUUGGGCGUAAAGGGUGCGUAUGCGGCGCGGAAAGUCCGGCGUGAAAGGCAGAGGCUCAACCUCUGGACUGCGUUGGAUACUUCCGUGCUUGAGGACUGGAGGGGAGACUGGAAUUCACGGUGUAGCAGUGAAAUGCGUAGAUAUCGUGAGGAAGACCGGUGGCGAAGGCGAGUCUCUGGACAGAUCCUGACGCUGAGGCACGAAGGCUGGGGGAGCGAACAGGAUUAGAUACCCUGGUAGUCCCAGCAGUAAACGAUGUGAGCUUGAUGUGGGGGGAUUCGACCCCUUCCGUGUCGAAGCUAACGCGAUAAGCUCACCGCCUGAGGAGUACGGCCGCAAGGCUAAAACUCAAAGAAAUUGACGGGGACCCGCACAAGCGGUGGAGUAUGUGGCUUAAUUCGAUGCAACGCGAAGAACCUUACCUGGCCUUGACAUGCAUUGUGUCGUCGGUGAAAGCCGGCUAGUCCUGGAAACAGGACGCUUUGCACAGGUGCUGCAUGGCUGUCGUCAGCUCGUGUCGUGAGAUGUUGGGUUAAGUCCCGCAACGAGCGCAACCCUUGUGGUCAGUUACUAACCGGCUUAGCCGGAGGACUCUGGCCAGACUGCCCUGUCAAACGGGGAGGAAGGUGGGGACGACGUCAAGUCAGUAUGGCCCUUAUGGCCAGGGCUGCACACGUACUACAAUGCCCGGUACAAUGUGAACCGAAACCGCGAGGUGGAGGAAAUCGCUCUUGAAAACCGGGCCCAGUUCGGAUUGGAGUCUGCAACUCGACUCCAUGAAGUCGGAAUCGCUAGUAAUGGCGUAUCAGCAACGACGCCGUGAUACGUUCCCGGGUCUUGUACACACCGCCCGUCACAUCAUGGAAGUCUCCUGUACCCGAAGCACGUGCGCCAACCUUUUAGGAGGCAGCGUUCGAAGGUAUGGGAGGUAACUGGGAUGAAGUCGU